AUUAACCAUUAUGGGGGCUAAAUGUGAGCUGGCGGCAUGCCUUACACAUGCAAGUCGAACGGCAGCAUGAUCUAGCUUGCUAGAUUGAUGGCGAGUGGCGAACGGGUGAGUAAUACAUCGGAACGUGCCCUGUAGUGGGGGAUAACUAGUCGAAAGAUUAGCUAAUACCGCAUACGACCUGAGGGUGAAAGUGGGGGACCGCAAGGCCUCAUGCUAUAGGAGCGGCCGAUGUCUGAUUAGCUAGUUGGUGGGGUAAAGGCCCACCAAGGCGACGAUCAGUAGCUGGUCUGAGAGGACGAUCAGCCACACUGGGACUGAGACACGGCCCAGACUCCUACGGGAGGCAGCAGUGGGGAAUUUUGGACAAUGGGCGAAAGCCUGAUCCAGCAAUGCCGCGUGUGUGAAGAAGGCCUUCGGGUUGUAAAGCACUUUUGUCCGGAAAGAAAUGGCUCUGGUUAAUACCUGGGGUCGAUGACGGUACCGGAAGAAUAAGGACCGGCUAACUACGUGCCAGCAGCCGCGGUAAUACGUAGGGUCCAAGCGUUAAUCGGAAUUACUGGGCGUAAAGCGUGCGCAGGCGGUUGUGCAAGACCGAUGCGAAAUCCCCGAGCUUAACUUGGGAAUUGCAUUGGUGACUGCACGGCUAGAGUGUGUCAGAGGGGGGUAGAAUUCCACGUGUAGCAGUGAAAUGCGUAGAGAUGUGGAGGAAUACCGAUGGCGAAGGCAGCCCCCUGGGAUAACACUGACGCUCAUGCACGAAGCGUGGGGAGCAAACAGGAUUAGAUACCCUGGUAGUCCACGCCCUAACGAUGUCAACUAGUUGUUGGGG
Molecule: ribosomal RNA, 829 nt
Filed under: uncultured bacterium
Lineage: Bacteria
Description: bacterial SSU rRNA
Rfam family: Bacterial small subunit ribosomal RNA
Source: RNAcentral